AGUGAACGCUGGCGGCAGGCCUAACACAUGCAAGUCGAACGGCAGCACAGUAAGUGCUUGCUCUUACCGGUGGCGAGUGGCGGACGGGUGACGUAUACAUCGGACUCUACUUUUUCGUGGGGGAUAACGUAGGCAAACUUACGCUACUACCGCAUACGACCUACGGGUGAAAGCAGGGGAUCUUCCGACCUUGCGCGAUUGAAUGAGCCGAUGUCGGAUUAGCUAGUUGGCGGGGUAAAGGCCCACCAAGGCGACGAUCCGUAGCUGGUCUGAGAGGAUGAUCAGCCACACGGGAACUGAGACACGGUCCAGACUCCUACGGGAGGCAGCAGUGGGGAAUAUUGGACAAUGGGCGCAAGCCUGAUCCAGCAAUACCGCGUGGGUGAAGAAGGCCUUCGGGUUGUAAAGCCCUUUUGUUGGGAAAGAAAAGCAGCAGGUUAAUACCCCGCGGUUCUGACGGUACCGGAAGAAUAAGCACCGGCUAACUACGUG
RNAcentral lists this ribosomal RNA (492 nucleotides) under uncultured bacterium. RNAcentral describes it as "partial 16S ribosomal RNA". It matches the Rfam family "Bacterial small subunit ribosomal RNA", at positions 29 to 507 of the family's 1533-position model. The record is from RNAcentral.